This 425-nucleotide ribosomal RNA is filed under the name uncultured bacterium. RNAcentral describes it as "partial 16S ribosomal RNA". It matches the Rfam family "Bacterial small subunit ribosomal RNA", at positions 354 to 796 of the family's 1533-position model. The record is from RNAcentral.
GUGGGGAAUAUUGGACAAUGGGCGAAAGCCUGAUCCAGCAAUGCCGCGUGAGUGAUGAAGGCCCUAGGGUUGUAAAGCUCUUUUACCCGGGAUGAUAAUGACAGUACCGGGAGAAUAAGCUCCGGCUAACUCCGUGCCAGCAGCCGCGGUAAUACGGAGGGAGCUAGCGUUGUUCGGAAUUAGUGGGCGUAAAGCGCGCGUAGGCGGUUUUCCAAGUCAGGGGUGAAAGCCCGGGGCUCAACCCCGGAAUAGCCCUUGAAACUGGAAGACUAGAAUCUUGGAGAGGUCAGUGGAAUUCCGAGUGUAGAGGUGAAAUUCGUAGAUAUUCGGAAGAACACCAGUGGCGAAGGCGACUGACUGGACAAGUAUUGACGCUGAGGUGCGAAAGCGUGGGGAGCAAACAGGAUUAGAAACCCCGGUAGUCC